Molecule: non-coding RNA, 1359 nt
Organism: Oncorhynchus mykiss (rainbow trout)
Lineage: Eukaryota; Metazoa; Chordata; Actinopteri; Salmoniformes; Salmonidae
Source: RefSeq, a predicted model, not a curated record
GAUCUAUCUAUGGAGAUGUAUAGGUGAAUAGUGCCCAAUAUGAUCUAUCUAUGGAGAUGAGAUGUAUAGGUGAAUAGUGUCCAAUAGGAUCUAUCUAUGGAGAUGUAUAGGUGAAUAGUGUCCAAUAUGAUCUAUCUAUGGAGAUGAGAUGUAUAGGUGAAUAGUGUCCAAUAGGAUCUAUCUAUGGAGAUGAGAUGUAUAGGUGAAUAGUGUCCAAUAGGAUCUCUCUAUGGAGAUGUAUAGGUGAAUAGUGCCCAAUAGGAUCUAUCUAUGGAGAUGUAUAGGUGAAUAGUGUCCAAUAGGAUCUAUCUAUGGAGAUGAGAUGUAUAGGUGAAUAGUGCCCAAUAGGAUCUAUCUAUGGAGAGGAGAUGUAUAGGUGAAUGGUGUCCAAUAGGAUCUAUCUAUGGAGAUGAGAUGUAUAGAUGAAUAGUGUCCAAUAUGAUCUAUCUAUGGAGAUGAGAUGUAUAGAUUAAUAGUGUCCAAUAGGAUCUAUCUAUGGAGAUGAGAUGUAUAGAUGAAUAGUGUCCAAUAGGAUCUAUCUAUGGAGAGGAGAUGUAUAGGUGAAUAGUGUCCAAUAGGAUCUAUCUAUGGAGAGGAGAUGUAUAGAUGAAUAGUGUCCAAUAGGAUCUAUCUAUGGAGAUGAGAUGUAUAGGUGAAUAGUGUCCAAUAGGAUCUAUCUAUGAAGAUGAGAUGUAUAGGUGAAUAGUGUCCAAUAGGAUCUAUCUAUGGAGAUGUAUAGGUGAAAAGUGUCCAAUAGGAUAUAUCUAUGGAGAGGAGAUGUAUAGGUGAAUGGUGUCCAAUAGGAUCUAUCUAUGGAGAUGAGAUGUAUAGGUGAAUAGUGUCCAAUAGGAUCUAUCUAUGGAGAUGAGAUGUACAGGUGAAUAGUGUCCAAUAGGAUCUAUCUAUGGAGAUGAGAUGUAUAGGUGAAUAGUGUCCAAUAGGAUCUAUCUAUGGAGAUGUAUAGGUGAAUAGUGUCCAAUAGGAUCUAUCUAUGGAGAUGUAUAGGUGAAUAGUGUCCAAUAGGAUCUAUCUAUGGAGAUGAGAUGUAUAGGUGAAUAGUGCCCAAUAGGAUCUAUCUAUGGAGAUGUAUAGGUGAAUAGUGCCCAACAGGAUCUAUCUAUGCUGUGUUGUUCCCACAAUUGGUGUGUUUCAGUGAGGAUGAGGAGGAAAGAGGAUUUACUGCUGCAAGAGAGACUGAUUGGAAAAGCAGCUUUACCAAGUAUCCCAAAUAGCACACUAUUCCCUAUGUAGUACACUAGGGUCUGAAGGCUUGUGGUCCAAUGUAGUGCACUACACUAGGGAAUAGGAGUGCCAUUUGGGACGGAGGCAGUGGAUAGAGGGAGGAAAAUCUACCCAGCG